GUGAAUCAUCGAAUUUUUGAACGCAAAUUGCACUCUCCGCGGAGAGGAGGACUGUUUGAGGGUCAGCCUAAGAAAAAUCGACGUCGUUACGGUUCCUCUGUGACGUUCGUCGGGAAUUGGGUUAUCUUAGACCUUUUGGUCUAGGCGACUUGCAAGUUUCCUUUUGGUUCCAUGAACGAUUCUGAGAUGU
RNAcentral lists this unclassified non-coding RNA (190 nucleotides) under Glomeromycota sp. RNAcentral's name for it is "partial internal transcribed spacer 2". The record is from RNAcentral. Lineage: Eukaryota; Fungi; Glomeromycota.